This 1364-nucleotide ribosomal RNA is filed under the name Escherichia coli. Its description in RNAcentral is "partial 23S ribosomal RNA". It matches the Rfam family "Bacterial large subunit ribosomal RNA", at positions 1291 to 2640 of the family's 2925-position model. The record is from RNAcentral. Lineage: Bacteria; Pseudomonadati; Pseudomonadota; Gammaproteobacteria; Enterobacterales; Enterobacteriaceae.
CGAAUGCUGACAUAAGUAACGAUAAAGCGGGUGAAAAGCCCGCUCGCCGGAAGACCAAGGGUUCCUGUCCAACGUUAAUCGGGGCAGGGUGAGUCGACCCCUAAGGCGAGGCCGAAAGGCGUAGUCGAUGGGAAACAGGUUAAUAUUCCUGUACUUGGUGUUACUGCGAAGGGGGGACGGAGAAGGCUAUGUUGGCCGGGCGACGGUUGUCCCGGUUUAAGCGUGUAGGCUGGUUUUCCAGGCAAAUCCGGAAAAUCAAGGCUGAGGCGUGAUGACGAGGCACUACGGUGCUGAAGCAACAAAUGCCCUGCUUCCAGGAAAAGCCUCUAAGCAUCAGGUAACAUCAAAUCGUACCCCAAACCGACACAGGUGGUCAGGUAGAGAAUACCAAGGCGCUUGAGAGAACUCGGGUGAAGGAACUAGGCAAAAUGGUGCCGUAACUUCGGGAGAAGGCACGCUGAUAUGUAGGUGAAGCGACUUGCUCGUGGAGCUGAAAUCAGUCGAAGAUACCAGCUGGCUGCAACUGUUUAUUAAAAACACAGCACUGUGCAAACACGAAAGUGGACGUAUACGGUGUGACGCCUGCCCGGUGCCGGAAGGUUAAUUGAUGGGGUCAGCGCAAGCGAAGCUCUUGAUCGAAGCCCCGGUAAACGGCGGCCGUAACUAUAACGGUCCUAAGGUAGCGAAAUUCCUUGUCGGGUAAGUUCCGACCUGCACGAAUGGCGUAAUGAUGGCCAGGCUGUCUCCACCCGAGACUCAGUGAAAUUGAACUCGCUGUGAAGAUGCAGUGUACCCGCGGCAAGACGGAAAGACCCCGUGAACCUUUACUAUAGCUUGACACUGAACAUUGAGCCUUGAUGUGUAGGAUAGGUGGGAGGCUUGGAAGUGUGGACGCCAGUCUGCAUGGAGCCGACCUUGAAAUACCACCCUUUAAUGUUUGAUGUUCUAACGUUGACCCGUAAUCCGGGUUGCGGACAGUGUCUGGUGGGUAGUUUGACUGGGGCGGUCUCCUCCUAAAGAGUAACGGAGGAGCACGAAGGUUGGCUAAUCCUGGUCGGACAUCAGGAGGUUAGUGCAAUGGCAUAAGCCAGCUUGACUGCGAGCGUGACGGCGCGAGCAGGUGCGAAAGCAGGUCAUAGUGAUCCGGUGGUUCUGAAUGGAAGGGCCAUCGCUCAACGGAUAAAAGGUACUCCGGGGAUAACAGGCUGAUACCGCCCAAGAGUUCAUAUCGACGGCGGUGUUUGGCACCUCGAUGUCGGCUCAUCACAUCCUGGGGCUGAAGUAGGUCCCAAGGGUAUGGCUGUUCGCCAUUUAAAGUGGUACGCGAGCUGGGUUUAGAACGUCGUGAGACAGUUCGGUCCCUA